AUCGAACGCUGGCGGCAGGCCUAACACAUGCAAGUCGAGCGGAUGAAGGGAGCUUGCUCCUGGACUCAGCGGCUUACGGUUGAGUAAUGCCUAGGACUCGGCCUGGUAGCGUGAGAUAACUACCUCAAACGGGCGCUAAUCCCCCGUACGUCGUGAGGAAGAAAGUGUGACACCUUCGUACCUCACGCUAUCAGAGGAGCAUAGGCCGGAUUAGCUAGUUGGUGGGGUACAGACCUACCAAGGCGACGAUCCGCAACUGGUCUGAGAGCAAGGUCAGGCACACGGGAAGUGAGACAGGGUCGAGACUCUUAAGCGAGGCCGCAGUGGGGAAUAUUGGACAAUGGGGGAAAGCCUGAUCCAGCCAUGCCGAGUGUGUGCAGAAGGUCUUCGGAUUGUAAAGCACUUUAAGUUGGGAGGAAGGGCAGUAAGUUAAUACCUUGCUGUUUUGACGUUACCAACAGAAUAAGCACCGGCUAACUUCGUG
This 484-nucleotide ribosomal RNA is filed under the name uncultured bacterium. RNAcentral's name for it is "partial 16S ribosomal RNA". It matches the Rfam family "Bacterial small subunit ribosomal RNA", at positions 30 to 507 of the family's 1533-position model. The record is from RNAcentral.